CUCUUAUUAUGAGUGGCGGAGGGAAUAGGCCCUGUGAAGCCCGGCAACCUAAAAGCAAACAUUUUUGCUUUUUACGGUGCUAAAUCCUACAAACCUAUUAUAAGGUUUGGAAGAUAAGAG
RNAcentral lists this non-coding RNA (120 nucleotides) under Virgibacillus chiguensis. RNAcentral's name for it is "SAM-I sequence". It matches the Rfam family "SAM riboswitch aptamer (S box leader)". Rfam says of the family: The SAM riboswitch is found upstream of a number of genes which code for proteins involved in methionine or cysteine biosynthesis in Gram-positive bacteria. The SAM riboswitch acts at the level of transcription termination control. The record is from RNAcentral. Lineage: Bacteria; Bacillati; Bacillota; Bacilli; Caryophanales; Bacillaceae.